This 62-nucleotide transfer RNA is filed under the name Haedus sp. RNAcentral describes it as "tRNA-Thr". It matches the Rfam family "tRNA". From Rfam's summary of the family: Transfer RNA (tRNA) molecules are approximately 80 nucleotides in length. Their secondary structure includes four short double-helical elements and three loops (D, anti-codon, and T loops). Lineage: Eukaryota; Metazoa; Arthropoda; Insecta; Hemiptera; Tingidae. The record is from RNAcentral.
GCCUUUAUAGUUUAAAGUAAAACACUGAUCUUGUAAAUCAAAAAUAGACUAUCUUAUAGGCU